GAACAUGGACAAAAAAUUAUAGGUGGAUCUAAUCCUCUAAUCUCUUCUUGAUUCGUAUGGACAGUUCAUCAUGAACUACCAUAUGAAUAAAAUUGAUAGCAUUUUGUUCGAGUUACUGAAUAUACUGGUAACAGCAGAGGACACCUUGAAGAGUUCAAGGGAUACAGUUUUGGCUGUAAAGUAAACUUUCUCCAAAAGAAAGUCUUCUUUUAAGAAGAAGAAGAAGCCUACAAAGAAGCAAAAGAACG
RNAcentral lists this long non-coding RNA (248 nucleotides) under Elaeis guineensis (African oil palm). RNAcentral's name for it is "long non-coding RNA (EGUI_LNC050803)". The record is from RNAcentral. Lineage: Eukaryota; Viridiplantae; Streptophyta; Magnoliopsida; Arecales; Arecaceae.